This is a long non-coding RNA of Alosa sapidissima (American shad), 235 nucleotides long. RefSeq lists it as uncharacterized. The record is from RefSeq and is a predicted model, not a curated record. The transcript is spliced from 4 exons. Lineage: Eukaryota; Metazoa; Chordata; Actinopteri; Clupeiformes; Clupeidae.
GGGCACUGUAGAGGCGGGCACUGCAGAGGCCGUAGAGGCGGGCACUGCAGAGGCUGUAGAGGAGGGCACUGCAGAGGCUGCAGAGGCGGGCACUGUAGAGGCGGGCACUGCAGAGGCUGUAGAGGCGGGCACUGCAGAGGCUGUAGAGGCGGGCACUGCAGAGGCGGGCACUGUAGAGGCUGGCACUGCAGAGGAGGGCACUGCAGAGGAGGGCACUGCAGAGGCUGGCACUGUA